Molecule: long non-coding RNA, 820 nt
Organism: Podarcis raffonei (Aeolian wall lizard)
Lineage: Eukaryota; Metazoa; Chordata; Lepidosauria; Squamata; Lacertidae
Exons: 2
Source: RefSeq, a predicted model, not a curated record
UUGAGGAGAAGGGGGAUUGGGAAAUAUGGACAAAUCUGAAGUUGUUAUGGUCGGGCCGAGCUGUUGUGGUGGGGAUGAGGGUUGCUGUGUUGCCGGGGAUGUUGCUUUUGUGUCAAAAAGUGCAAGUUUUGGAUGGGAGGGAUUGUUUCAGGAGGUGGCAGAGGGAUGUUCCUGGAUUUGUUUGGCAGGGCAGGAAGCCUCGAGUAAAACUUAAGAUAUUGAGGGAUGCUAAAGAAGGAGGUGGACCUGCCCUGUCAGACACCUAAACUUUGUUGUGAAUCAUCUGCUUUUUGCUGGCUGAGAGAAUGGCUGUCUCUUAAAAGCACUUAAGUGUUGGAUAAUGGCAGAUGAAGUUGAUGGACUAGACGGAAUUGGCGGAAAAGACUGGCAAGAUCCGAGACCAGGGAGAAGAGUCGGUGGAAGAAGACUGGGAAAAUUAUAUGGCUUUAGUAGAAAUGUUAUAAGGAAUUAAGUAUAAAUAGAUUAAUAGAGUAUUAAAGGAAAAUAAGGUUAAAAGAUGUUAAGAUAAUUAUAGGAUAGAAAACGGGAAGAUGGUAAGGAAUUGCUGAAAUAAUUAAUAGAAGUGGAAUACAAAAAGGGAGGUGUGAGGAGGCCGUGGAAAUAUGGGAAAGAAAGAUAAGAUAUUGGAAGUUUUUUCUUUUUUCUUCUUUUUUUUUCUUCUUCUAUCUUUUGAUGUGUUUUUAAAUUGUUUCUGUUUUGUUUUGUUAAUUUUUAUGUAGUGUAUUAUAAUGUAUUGUGUAUUGUUUUUUCUUUUGUAAGUGUUUAAAUGGUUGUAAAAGCAAUAAAUAUUAUUUAUUUA